AAAGGGUGCGUAGGCGGCCUGUUAAGUCAGGGGUGAAAGACGGUAGCUCAACUAUCGCAGUGCCCUUGAUACUGAUGGGCUUGAAUAUACUAGAGGUAGGCGGAAUGUGACAAGUAGCGGUGAAAUGCAUAGAUAUGUCACAGAACACCAAUUGCGAAGGCAGCUUACUAUGGUAUGAUUGACGCUGAGGCACGAAAGCGUGGGGAUCAAACAGGAUUAGAUACCCCAGU
This 230-nucleotide ribosomal RNA is filed under the name uncultured bacterium. RNAcentral's name for it is "partial 16S ribosomal RNA". It matches the Rfam family "Bacterial small subunit ribosomal RNA", at positions 562 to 791 of the family's 1533-position model. The record is from RNAcentral.